Molecule: long non-coding RNA, 936 nt
Organism: Nerophis ophidion (straightnose pipefish)
Lineage: Eukaryota; Metazoa; Chordata; Actinopteri; Syngnathiformes; Syngnathidae
Exons: 2
Source: RefSeq, a predicted model, not a curated record
UGUCACCUUUUGCCCAGGAGAGGGACAAACGACAAGCCGAGCGUUAUCCUGAGAUUUGUAAACAGGAAGCACAAGAUCGCGUUGCUAAAACAGGGAAGGAAGCUAAAAGGAACAAACGUUUACAUGAACGACCAUUUGACCAAACGAAAUGCUGAUAUAGCUCGAAAAGCACGCCAAAUGAGGAGAGAGAAGAAAAUUCUACAAACUUGGACAGCGAACUGUAAAGUAUUCAUUAAACUCAACGGUACUCCAGAGAACGCCAAAGUGCUGGUGAUUAGAAACAUGGAAGAUCUGAACGAAUAUGACGUUUGAACUGGACUGUAAGAUCACGGGCCCUUCCUCUUGUGUCACCAGUCUGACGUCAUCCCGGACCCUUGAUUGUUUCCACCUGUUUCAUCAUCAUCAUGUUCUAUUUAAGCUCAUGCCUCCCCUUGUCCUGUGCCAGAUCGUCUCGAGCUUUCGUGUCAAUAUAGCAUCAAUGUGCAUGUCCAUGUUGCUAUCCGUGCCUUGCCUCUUCCCACGUUUACUUCCUUGGAACAAGAACUCUCUUGCUGUAAUUUUGAAUUUUACUUUUUUCCUCCUUUGAGCAACCUUUGUUAUUCUAGCCUUCGUCCAACCUAUUUUUUUGAGUUUUUGUAUUUUUCUAAAUUCCUUUUCUUCCUCAAAGAUUGAGUGAUUUUUUAUUCAUCUUUAUCGAGUAUUAAUUUAUAGCCCUUUUUGUUCUUCCUCCUGCUGGAGCGCUUUGGGUUAUUUUUUAUAGUAGUUACGACUUUAAUAGUAGUUCGUUCUUUUGUUAGUUUAAUCCUCCUAUUUUUUGGAGUGAUUUUUGGUUUAUCUUUUACCAGAAUUAUUUCCGCGGAUUUUUUGUUAAUCGUAAUACUGUGGCUCUGGAGGUUUUAGAAGUUGUUUCAAAAUAAAAGAUUUAUUAGAACCUCA